CUCCCACACCCUGGCUUCGUCUUCUUCACGCCAGAUUGAAGCAAGCAGCGCGAUGGAAGAUUAAAAAACGGCCCCCUGUUCUGCUGCUUCUUCAUGUUUCGAACUCAUAAACCCCAAGCUUUUUCAUCCUCCUUCUUCAGCCAUUAGAGACCCCAUAACCCUCUUCACUCACACCCCUUACCAGCUGACCACGGCUGGCCGCGGAUGCCUGAAACUCGCCGGAUUAACGAGCUCCAGAUGCGACAAACAGAACCAAAUGACCUCACCCCUGCUCUCUUCAUCAACACAGACACCAAUAGACCCUAAGUUACAGCAGUUUUGGACACAAAAUGAGGAAGCAACCAGUUUCGAUGGUUGUUUCUUAACCAAACGCGGCCAGCACCUUUGAAGUUGCAGCAGCAGUCAUUUUUAUCCCAUAGUUUCUCUUGUCGUCUGUUUCCGAUUUUAAGAAGCCAUAGAAUCCGACGGAGUUCAUUUAAAUGUCAAAGUUUUGCUUUUUCUGAUUUCAACGGAAGUUGAUUCGAUUCCGAUCGUGGAGUUCAUUUGAGUUUGAAAGCUGUUUUGUGCCCGUAUCGAUUUCGAGGUUGUCGGUGAGGUAUCCCGGUAGAGGUUUUCCGGUCAAGCUCGUGUCCCGAUUCAUAUUCAUACAUUGCUGUCGUAGUCGAAAAGCUGUCAUUCUUUGAGCCUAAAGUGACCUACUGUACACUUGUUGGAACUAUCCAUAUGUGUGUGUGUGCUCGUAGUGGUUCAUUUUAAGACUUGUUCAGUUUGUAAUUUGAGAAUGUUGGUAGUAAUUGAUGGAUUAUCGGCUAAUUUUUAUA
This is a long non-coding RNA of Nicotiana tabacum (common tobacco), 821 nucleotides long. RefSeq lists it as uncharacterized. NCBI's taxonomy places the organism in Eukaryota, Viridiplantae, Streptophyta, Magnoliopsida, Solanales, Solanaceae. The record is from RefSeq and is a predicted model, not a curated record.